Danio rerio (zebrafish) is the source of this 321-nucleotide non-coding RNA. The record is from RefSeq and is a predicted model, not a curated record. NCBI's taxonomy places the organism in Eukaryota, Metazoa, Chordata, Actinopteri, Cypriniformes, Danionidae.
CUAAAAAGAACCUACUGAAAAAGAAAUUUGAACCUGGGGAUGUUGCCUAUGAGGAUGAAAGUUCACCAGCCACAGUUCUAGACAUUAAAGAGAACAAAGAAACUCUCAGGAGGAGGAUAUUCAGAAGAGGGGAAUUUACAGACGUAGUACAGAAGAAGUUUCCAAACGUACCAAUAAAAUUUAUCAGGGCAGCAGUAAGGGAAAAAGUAAAUGAUGAGCACAAGUUACAAGGAAGGAAAAUGGAGUAAACGCAGCCUGUUCAUUGGAUUCUGGUCUACUUUUUAUUUUUUUAACAGUUUUAAUAAAUAAUUUGUGAAAAUA